This 253-nucleotide long non-coding RNA is filed under the name Elaeis guineensis (African oil palm). Its description in RNAcentral is "long non-coding RNA (EGUI_LNC074837)". The record is from RNAcentral. Lineage: Eukaryota; Viridiplantae; Streptophyta; Magnoliopsida; Arecales; Arecaceae.
CACGCGAAGUCUGAUCACCGCACGUGCAAGCAUGAGGAGGAACUUAUGGCAUCCGUUUGGCAUCCAUAUAAGUAUGGAAAAAUUUCAAAAAAAUUAUCAAAAAUAGCCUGUCAAAUGUGAAAUGUUAUUACUAAAAAUAGUUCUAUUUUAAAAGUAUUUGAUAAGGAGAAGAACUCUCCAAAUCUCAGAGAGAUGCGAUGCUUCUGCACGCACGCCCGAGACUUCCUUCCUUUCUCCCAUUUUUCGCCACCCC